UUGCUUGGGCAGCACAUAUACUAAAAUUGGAACAAUACAGAGAUUAUUAGUAUGGCCCCUGUGCAAAGAUGACACACAAAUUCCUAAAGUAUUCCAUAUUUUU
Mastomys coucha (southern multimammate mouse) is the source of this 103-nucleotide small nuclear RNA. The record is from RefSeq and is a predicted model, not a curated record. Lineage: Eukaryota; Metazoa; Chordata; Mammalia; Rodentia; Muridae.